RNAcentral lists this ribosomal RNA (373 nucleotides) under uncultured Sphingobacteriales bacterium. RNAcentral describes it as "bacterial SSU rRNA". It matches the Rfam family "Bacterial small subunit ribosomal RNA", at positions 1011 to 1382 of the family's 1533-position model. The record is from RNAcentral. Lineage: Bacteria; Pseudomonadati; Bacteroidota; Sphingobacteriia; Sphingobacteriales.
CUCCAUCUGGAAGAAUCUGGAGACAGGUGCUGCAUGGCUGUCGGUCAGCUCGUGUCGUGAGAUGUUGGGUUAAGUCCCGUAACGAGCGCAACCCCUAUCAUUAGUUGCCAUCAGGUCAAGCUGGGACUCUAAUGAAACUGCCUACGCAAGUAGUGAGGAAGUGGGGAUGACGUCAAAGUCAGCAGGCCCUUACGUCCAGGGCUACACACGUGCUACAAUGGCCGGUACAAAGGGCAGCUACCUGGUGACAGGAUGCUAAUCUCAAAAGCCGGUACUCAGUUCGGAUCGGAGUCUGGCAACCCGACUCCGUGAACGCUGGAAUCGCUAGUAAUCGCGCAUCAGCCAUGGCGCGGUGAAUACGUUCCCGGGCCUU